CAGCAGCCACGGUAUACGAAGGGGGCUAGCGUUGUUCGGAUUUACCGGGCGUAAAGGGCGCGUAGGCGGACUGAUAAGUCAGGGGUGAAAUCCCAAGGCUCAACCUUGGAACUGCCUUUGAUACUGUUUGUCUUGAGUUCGAGAGAGGUAAGUGGAACUGCGAGUGUAGAGGUGAAAUUCGUAGAUAUUCGCAAGAACACCAGUGGCGAAGGCGGCUUACUGGCUCGAAACUGACGCUGAGGCGCGAAAGCGUGGGGAGCAAACAGGAUUAGAUACCCCCGUAGUCCCUGUCUCUUAUACA
Molecule: ribosomal RNA, 301 nt
Filed under: uncultured bacterium
Lineage: Bacteria
Description: partial 16S ribosomal RNA
Rfam family: Bacterial small subunit ribosomal RNA
Source: RNAcentral